RNAcentral lists this transfer RNA (84 nucleotides) under Candidatus Omnitrophota bacterium. RNAcentral's name for it is "tRNA-Leu". It matches the Rfam family "tRNA". Rfam says of the family: Transfer RNA (tRNA) molecules are approximately 80 nucleotides in length. Their secondary structure includes four short double-helical elements and three loops (D, anti-codon, and T loops). The record is from RNAcentral. Lineage: Bacteria; Pseudomonadati; Candidatus Omnitrophota.
GGGCGGGUGGUGGAAUUGGUAUACACGCAGGACUUAAAAUCCUGUGGCCGUAAGGCUGUGAGGGUUCAAGUCCCUCCCCGCCCA